RNAcentral lists this long non-coding RNA (1014 nucleotides) under Oryctolagus cuniculus (rabbit). RNAcentral describes it as "lncRNA (ENSOCUG00000035252.1)". Lineage: Eukaryota; Metazoa; Chordata; Mammalia; Lagomorpha; Leporidae. The record is from RNAcentral.
AUGCCCGAAGGACCAGGCCCCACUGCAGCUGCCCUUGGAGUCUACUCUGCACACGGAGCAAAGGGGAGCUGUCAAGGGCGUGGUCUCUCUCCACCUCCAGCUGUGCCAGGAAAUCUCGCGUGGCACCCACUAUUGCGAGAGGACUCGCCCACUGGAUCUGGGGCCCAUGGGGGAAAGAGAAGUAAGCAAGGAGCAGCAGGCUCCGUUCCACCUCUGGUGCCCAAGGGCCAGGGCCAGUGCCACGUUGGUGGCAGAGAGUCACAAGACCAAGCCCGGGGAAGCUCCGAUCCAGCCCCUGCUUUUUCCAGCUCUUCCGGCUCCUCUCCCUGCUCCUCCUCCUCCUUGGGGUGGCCCCGUGGAGCAGGGGGAGCACAAAGAAGGCAGAAGGGAAGCAGCAACCGAAGAAGCGAGGGAUGCAGGCUGGGGCGGGGCCCUCACUGGAGCAGUGGCUCAGAUCAGCCAGGAGGGAGAGAGUGGCCCAGCCCCGAGGGACAAGCAGGAGCCCUGUGUCCUGGCGUGAAGACCAUGGAUGAGUGGGAGACAGCGCGGUCCUACAGGAAAUCAGACCAAAGAGUGACACAGGGGUCAAUAAGCCAAGCCACCCCAGGGGACGGCCUGACCACGCAGGGCCCUGGCUGGCCAGGGGUUGUGGAUGGUGCCUGGGACACAGCCUGGAGGCAGGCACAGGUGGCUGCAGGCCCAACGGGUGCUGUUCGCCUGUCUCCUGCGCUUUGGCCUCUGGCCCCGCCCAGCCUCCGCUCUCCCGCAGGACUGGGGGGCGGGGCCCCUGACCCACUCAACACCUCCAUCUGCAGGAGCACAGCUUCCCAGGCAGGGAGGCCUCCCUGCUACAGACAGCAAAUGAAAACGGAAAGAACCGUCCCUUCUUGGAACACCAGCUCUCCCUUCUUGCCCUGCAGCCCCCACCGGGAACACGGGGAUGGCGAUGGCGAUGCUACUGCGUUCUUCCCGAAGGAUGUUUGCGGUUUUCAUUCAUUCAAGACGUUUUGUUGA